Molecule: ribosomal RNA, 440 nt
Filed under: uncultured bacterium
Lineage: Bacteria
Description: partial 16S ribosomal RNA
Rfam family: Bacterial small subunit ribosomal RNA
Source: RNAcentral
CCUACGGGAGGCAGCAGUAGGGAAUAUUGCUCAAUGGGGGAAACCCUGAAGCAGCAACGCCGCGUGGAGGAUGAAGGUUUUCGGAUUGUAAACUCCUUUUGUUAGAGAAGAUAAUGACGGUAUCUAACGAAUAAGCACCGGCUAACUCCGUGCCAGCCGCCGCGGUAAUACGGAGGGUGCAAGCGUUACUCGGAAUCACUGGGCGUAAAGAGCGCGUAGGCGGGAUAGCAAGUCAGAUGUGAAAUCCUAGGGCUUAACCAUAGAACUGCAUUUGAAACUGUUAUUCUAGAGUAUGGGAGAGGUAGGUGGAAUUCUUGGUGUAGGGGUAAAAUCCGUAGAGAUCAAGAGGAAUACUCAUUGCGAAGGCGACCUGCUAGAACAUAACUGACGCUGAUGCGCGAAAGCGUGGGGAGCAAACAGGAUUAGAUACCCGUGUAGUC